This is a long non-coding RNA of Bufo gargarizans (Asiatic toad), 621 nucleotides long. RefSeq lists it as uncharacterized. The record is from RefSeq and is a predicted model, not a curated record. The transcript is spliced from 3 exons. NCBI's taxonomy places the organism in Eukaryota, Metazoa, Chordata, Amphibia, Anura, Bufonidae.
ACACUGCAAAGGGAAGGGGGACAACCAAAUUCCGCCUCUGUACAACCGGAAAGCUUAGCCGAAUAACAGUAAAGUCACAGUUAAUUAUUUUCUCAUGUGGCCCAAAGAAGGGGGACGGGGGUCCUCACUGAUCUUCAGGAUGGCGAAGAUCCGGAUGACAGAUAAGCAGAUGGUCCAAGUGGCCGCUUCAAGAAAAAAAGACUGCAGACAGAAAAUCUUCAGACAGAAAAUCCCACCGAUCACCAGCAGAGGGAGCAAGCAGCAAACAAACCAGCAAGCCAGUGAACAGCUGAGCAGAGCGACCGAGUCCGGACACACACCACGCACCACAGAGGAGAGGAACCAGCCGAGGAGGGAGACAGAAAGUCCAGGCGGGUCAAAACCCAGGAACAGAGAGGAGCACGCCAGCGGCAGGAACCAGGAGCCGAGAGGAAGCGGAGGCAGCCAACAGCCAGCAGCCAGGCCGGACCUGCCAAAACACCUUUGACUUUGAGCGCGGUGACUUCAGCGCAGGUCCUGCUGAAUGAAGACAGAAGAAAGAAGACGAUGCCAGAUGCGUGAACAACAAGAUGAGACACCAGGACUUGUCAUUAUCGCCAAUGUAUGACUGAUCUCCUUUCC